UUGGCCCAGGUGUUAUAAAAAAAAACACAGAUCAGUUUCUCUUCUUCUUCCUCCCGAAUUUUCAUUCCAAAACACCUAUUUUCUAAACCCUCAAACCUAAAUCCCCAAUCUCCACCCCCCACAAACCUUUAACCCUCUUCCCCACCAAGCCUUGAAGCCCCAAAUCCUCCAUUGUCGCCGCUGCCAGCAGCUCCGCCAUUUCCAAAAGCUUGCCUCCACUUCCACCACCUCACAAUUCAAGUUUUACCGGUUGCUACUGCUUCAGUCGAGAGGGCAUUCUCCGUCAUGAAUAUUAUCAAAGGUCCACUUCGGAAAAAAAUGGGAGAUCAAUGGUUGAGUGAUAGCUUUCUUGUUUAUGUUGAGAAGGAUGUUUUUGAUUGUAUUGAAAAUGAAGCUAUAAUGCUACGUUUUCAAAAUAUGAAACCUCGUCGUGGCCAAUUGUAAUUUGUAAUGUUGUUUUUUUACAUGAAUUAUGAAUGAAUGUACUCUAGUUUUA
Long non-coding RNA from Prunus dulcis (almond), 496 nucleotides. RefSeq lists it as uncharacterized. NCBI's taxonomy places the organism in Eukaryota, Viridiplantae, Streptophyta, Magnoliopsida, Rosales, Rosaceae. The transcript has 2 exons. The record is from RefSeq and is a predicted model, not a curated record.